GUCGCUGUGGCGCAAUGGUAGCGGUAAGUAACUACUACCUAGUUCACCAAUAUUUGCUAAUAUCAGACGUAGCGUUGGACUUCUAUAAACCUCAUGGUGUGAAUCCAAAGGCUGUGGGUUCGAGCCCCACCAGCGAUG
Molecule: non-coding RNA, 138 nt
Organism: Lindgomyces ingoldianus
Lineage: Eukaryota; Fungi; Ascomycota; Dothideomycetes; Pleosporales; Lindgomycetaceae
Source: the annotation of a RefSeq genome assembly